This 6831-nucleotide long non-coding RNA is filed under the name Triticum aestivum (bread wheat). RNAcentral describes it as "long non-coding RNA (TAES_LNC005349)". Lineage: Eukaryota; Viridiplantae; Streptophyta; Magnoliopsida; Poales; Poaceae. The record is from RNAcentral.
AAAAAAGCAGGGAUGAUUAAAAGUUCAAACCAACGGUCCCUAGAAAGAUAUCACAAGUUUGCAUUACCUCAUAGCAAGGUGCCCCAUCUGGCAACAAUCAAUCAAUACCGAUAGCACAAGUUCGCAUUACCUCAUACCUGGACCUACAUGAACUAUAGACCCAUCGCCCAUUCAGCAGUAAACCAAUAACUGUUUUGGGUAUGCUGUAGCAGAUAGGGGCAGCACAAAAUACAAACUAGAUUGAUAGUUUGCAAUCCUAGCCAGUGAAACAACCCCUGCGUAAGUAGAUUCCACCAAACAACAUCAUCUGCUUUGUGAAGGGUAGCGGGAACAAUGCCGACAUCCAAAGAUAAAUACUCUAUUGAUCGACAUGAAUCAUGUUUGUACCACCAAAUCAUGAUAUCCAAGUCAGAAUGCAGCCUCAAACGAUCUCCUAUUUUGUUCCAAUUCCUUUCCUCAUUCUUGUAUUAUGAAGGCUAGACGCUCCAGGGGAGGAUCACAUAGAUUUGUGUGGAAGAUGGAAUUGAAGAUUGCCUAUUGAGGAUGAAUCCAUCCAUGGCUUUGACUUACCGUGCAAGCGAUGCCGGAUCAGAUCGUGGGAAGCCGCCGAGGACAGUUCGUCGUCGUUUUCGUCCUGCCGUAGACCUGCAUCGCCGUGCCGCUCCCCUGGGUGAGGCAUGCUCGCACCAUGCGCAGGAGGGCAUGGACUGCCACCGGUUGUGAAAUCGCUCCACUGGAGAGGGUGCUGCUAACAUAUUAGAGCGGAAAUGAGAAACAACAGCAAAGACAAGUAAUGAAGGGAAACACUUCCUAACAGAAGUCUGAUAGAAGGCACUCAUCAGACCGGCUGAGAAACAUCGAUGUGUUUCUCAUCUCAUGGCUGAGAUUGUUUCCAAAUAUUAGUUCAUGUGUUUCCAAAGUUGACUGAUUUUCUUCCCACGUCCCUCCUAUAAUCCCUCCCGCAUUAAUCUCACCUGCCCCAAACCGACAUCCCUCGUCCCCAUCAUAGUUGCUCCCGCGAUCCAUCUGCAUCCCCGAGCUGGGCACUCCCCUCGUCGCCCGGAUCUCUGGCCAUGAACCAGCCAUCCCAAUAGUGGUCGUGAGAUUCACUGCACCAGUACACCGUCCCAUCCGUUGGCUUCGUCUGGCAUUAUCCAUGACAGGCAUGAGCGAGCACCCGACCCCCUCGCCGUCCAUGGCAUCAUCACUAGGUUUAGGCUUCCGCGACAGAGCGUUGUCUCAGUUGAGGAAAGAAGACAGCAAGCGAGGAACAUUGCAGGAUUCGCCCGCUUCCUUCGCAUGCAUCAUGCACUCACCAGACCUAGACCUAGGUAUCUAGUCCUGUAAUCUUGAUUCUUCUGUUCAUAUCAUGGUUCUAUUUCACGUGUAAUUUGUCACUGAUUUUUUUUGUUAAAUGUGCACAUGAGAAUAGUAUGCAUCCAAUCCUAGCAGUAAUACUAGUUUUCAUUACAAUAUCAAUUUCCAUGCUUCCAUCAUUAAUCUUCUAUGCUUCCAAAUAAGAUGAGUUAUGUUCACAUCUCAUUCUUUUCAUGCUUCUUACUUUUGAUGCUUCCAAAUUAUACUGCAUAUAGUUCUUCAGUCUAGAUGAUUUGCUUCCAUACUUCAACCAGAUUCUAUGAAUUUAUAAUGUAGGUGACAUAAACAUGCAUCUUCCAGACGAAUCUUUGUUUUUUUUUCAUUUUCAGUAUUUUAUACUCCCAAUUUAGAUGAGCCAUAUCAAGAUGGCAUAUUUUCAUGCUUCCUACCUACUAGGCUUCAAAAUUCUACUUCAUAUGCUUCCUCUGUUCAAAUAGAUUGUUCCCCUUCUACCUUCUUAAAAAAUGAUCUUGUCAUUGUUAUCACCAUUGCAAUAUGUCAUGCUUCCAUAUGUUGCUAAAUAUGUUCUUUUGGUCUACAUGCUCUGUUAUAUUUCUAUCAUUUGCAUUAGUCAGCACUAUUGUAACCUAAACAUUGGCCUUCUGUUUCAUGGUUAGUCUAGAUAAGUUGCAUAAGUACAAGCAUGCAUCUUCCUUCGUGAACACUGACCCCAUGCAUCCUAGUUUCAUCACAUAUUUGUUGCGCAGGAUUUGCUUCGUUCUUUUCUUGGUUACCACAUUUCGUCAUUGUCAUUGUGUGCUUAACAAUUCACAUAUUAUUAUAUAUUUGCUAACGCAGUACGGUUUAUAUUUUUUUUCAGUGCACUAGUGAUGACGAAAGCAAUUCAUCUCUAUGCUGCACCCAUGUUUUCGUUUGAUGUCGUUUGGACGCGUGUGCUUCCAUGGUCUUGCUAGCUUGCCCUUUACGUCCUUGCCAUCAUCAUCGAUGUGUGCUUCGAUGGUCCUACUCUUCCAUGUAUCAUCGUUGUCAAGGUGUACCAAUGGUAAGAAAGCGUGAAAGACCAUGGAACAUCAAGACAUGGAAGGAUGUGCGGCCAUCGUUGGUGGGGUUUGUAUUGUAUUGAAACGGCAAAAAUCAAACCUAUGAUCUAUCUUUGUUGUUUGAUGUAACUUCUUUGGAAGCAAAUUGUAUUUUCUUCAGAAGCAAGUUCUUACAAAUGUUCGAUGGAAAUACAUUUGUUGUCUUGGAAGCACUUCAUCGAUACACUCGAAACAAUUCUAUGGUCACAUGAAACAUAGCUUGUCUGCGCAAACAAAAUACACUGGACAUAACUUCUAGUGCAAGACUAACAAUACUAACCAAACCGAAGCAAUCUCCAGUUUCCAUGAAAACUUGCGCACGGCCGAUCCAAACAAACUUCUAAUCAUAUGGAAGCAAUUUGACCGAAACAAAUUAAAAAAUAAGACAAAAAAAUGAUUAAGCCUAGGAAGCAAACCAAACUAAAGUUUCGGAAGCAAGGAUCCUCACUAUUGAAAACUACGUAGGAAGCAAACAAAAAGAAUUCUCAUCACGAAUGGAAAGUACGUAAGGAAGCAAAUAAAAAUGUUGGAAGCAACAAAACAAUCUUUAAUUAUACAUGCCUUGAUUUGAAAUUGCAUGGGCAGCAAACUAAAGUUUAGGAAGCAAGGAUCCUCACGAUUGGAAACAAAAUAUCUUUAGUUAGUUACUCCCUCUGGUCCGGCAAUGAUCUGCGCCGGCGCACCGGCCCAACUUUGGGUCGGUCGGCCCGCAGCCACUCGAUUAGAUGGAUAGAAACCGUUCGAUCGUUGUCUUUGUCAAAGCACUGGUACGAAGGAUCUUUUUGCAUCUCCUCGCUCCCUUCCAUCUCACCGCCAUCGGCCGCGCAUGUUCUCCCAUCGCUGCUGUCGCCGGCCGUCCUCGCCGCUGGUCGCCAUCCUCGCCGGUCGUCCUAGUCGCCGGUCGCAGCCCUUGCCGGGCGUCCUCGUCGCCGGCGUCACCCAUGCAACAGAUGCAUCCUGCGGGGUUGGCUCCUGUGGCGACGGGUUGCAGCGACGGCCGCGGCUCGCUGGCAUGCUCGCCGCCACUCAUGGCCGAUACCCUCCCCCGACAUAGCUCGCCAUCACCCAUCGCAUAUCGUAGCAGAAAACACUAGUUAGUAGCUUUUGCGGUUGCUAGUUGAAGCAAAAAUGCAACGCGCUUGUAGCACCGGGGCUACGCCGGUGAUGGCUUGUAGCUAAACGAGGCGCCAUCGCUGUCCUGGCCCGGUCACAUAUGUGUCAUGAAUGGAUGUAGCAAAAUGCCUCGCUGGUCGUAGCAAAAAUUGACGACGAUUGCAGCAAAAAUGUCAUCUCCGACAUCAUGGGUUGUGAUGGAUGUAGCAAAUUGACGUCGCUGUGGUAGCAAAUAUUGACGACGAUUACAGCAAAAAUGUCAUCUCCGACGUCAUGGGUUGCGAUGGAUGUAGCAAAUUGUCGUCGCCGUGGUAGCAAAAAUUGACGACGAUUGCAGCAAAAAUGUCAUCUCCAACGUCAUGGGCUGCGAUGGACGUAGCAAAUUGCCGUCACCAUGGUAGCAAAACGUCAACACGGUUGCAACAAAAAAAAUGUCUGUCGCCUUCGGUUGUAGCUUGCCGUGCAUGUUGUUUCUCCCCCGGUUGAAGCUUUUCAAAAACACCAUUGCAGCUAUCUCGUAGCCGGUUGCAACUUUUUUGGUUUGCACAGUAACAUCUUCCCAGCUUCCCUGUCUUUGUUUGAAACUUUUGAAGAAGCCGGUGGUAGCUUCCCUGGACACUGGUUGUAGCAUUUUUAGGUAUUGUUUGCAGCUUCUCCACACCAUUUGCAGCCUCAGCUCUCUUUCUGGUUCCAGCAAAAAAAUAGCCUUGGUCGUAGCAUUUUGUAUCACCGGAUGCAGUUCUAUCGAUUGCCCGUCGCAGCUCAUUGGUUCCAGCAAAGAAUAAGAAGGCGGUCGUAGCAUCUGUAAACUCCUGGUUGCAGCUCUGACGACUACCGGUCGCAGUUCUUGUCUGGGGAAGGUGAGGUGAGGGUGCGCAGGGGGACUACAAGGGGAAAGGGGGAGGGAGGAGGCGUUGGUCGUCGCCGUCUUCUCCGCCCCGCCGUGGCUCGCCCUAGCUGCAAGCCUCGUCAUGACAGUGUGAUGCGCAUGAGGCAGAGAUGGAGAAAGGGAGCGGUCGUGAGGGAGAAGAAAGCGACAGAUGGGAAAAAACGGUUCGCAUGAGGUGCAGAUAAGGUUUGAGUCGGAAGAGCUCGUGGCCCUGGGCAACGCACUAUCGAUAUCGAUCACAAGGCUCGCGUGCGGCCGGCGGAACGUUUCGGUCGGUGCCCCAGCCACAAACAUUUCCCUUUUUAGUUUCCAUAUAAGAUUUGACUGAAGUCAAGCCUCGUAAAGUUUGACCAGCUUUAUAGAAAAAAAUGUCAACAUUUACAAUCUGAAAUCAAUACCACUAGAUGUGUCAUGACUUAAAGUUUCAUAUUAUAUAACUUUAGCAUGGCAGAUGUUAAUUUUUUUUCAUAUAAAUAUAGUCAAACUUUGUGAAGUUUGACUUUAAAGAAUUCUAAUAUGCAUGGUAAAAAGGACAGGAGGGAGUACGUCUUGAUUUCAGGAGGAAGCUGUUAGGAAACAAAUUAAACGCAAUUAAUGUGGAAUCCUGCAUGCAAGCUGACUGACGUGGGGGAGUUUGCUAGCAAAUCGAACGACGUGCGUACUUUAAUCGGAUGGCCACGGACUAAUGUGACAGGAAGAAAACGUCAGUCUGAUGCCUAGAGGUUCCCAUAUAUAGUUUCUGACCAAUAGCCAAUGCAACAUGAAUGACGUGGCCAGCCAUGCAUUAUUUUUUCAGGCAAGCCACAGCCCUCGGUAUAUGUAGCAGUGACAGGGUUAGUACAGACACUACUCUCGGUAUAUGUUGUAACCAAUUCACAAUACCACUAUGCUUAAACGAAUUCACCAAAGCACCAAGAGAUGAGAAAAAGAUCUGUGUAGCCAAAAGAAAGACUGCAUAAUCCAAAACGCUGAUGUUGCAAAUAAUAUUUUUACAUGUUACAAACCAGAAAAAACUGAAACUUGCCAUUCGAAAAGGAUGCUGACAUGCUUGACAACUAAAGUUGCCAUCCUAGCAUCACUAAACUCGCCAUAAAAAACGUUCGAAAUUGCCAUGUGUUCGUGCAACACAUGUGGCACUUAUCAUGGUCCAACAAAUAAGCAUCUUGUGACAUAAGAAAUCAAAUUCGUUGCAACAACAAAAAGAAAUGCUGACAAUUAUUUUCUUUGGGCAAGCAAUCACAUCUCUGGUGAAGUAAAAGAUGACAAGUACUACCUCCAUAAAGAAAUAUAAGAGUGUUUAGAUUACUAAGUAGUGAUCUAAACACUCUUAUAUUUCUUUACGGAGUGAGCAUCACCUAGAGUAAUCGGCUCAUCAAGUUAACUGCAGCCAACUAAGCAGCAAUCAUCAUAAAAAAGCAGGGAUGAUUCAAAGUUCAAACCAACGGUCCCUAGAAAGAUAUCACAAGUUUGCAUUACCUCAUAGCAAGGUGCCCCAUCUGGCAACAAUCAAUCAAUACCGAUAGCACAAGUUCGCAUUACCUCAUACCUGGACCUACAUGAACUAUAGACCCAUCGCCCAUUCAGCAGUAAACCAAUAACUGUUUUGGGUAUGCUGUAGCAGAUAGGGGCAGCACAAAAUACAAACUAGAUUGAUAGUUUGCAAUCCUAGCCAGUGAAACAACCCCUGCGCAAGUAGAUUCCACCAAACGACAUCAUCUGCUUUGUGAAGGGUAGCGGGAACAAUGCCGACAUCCAAAGAUAAAUACUCUAUUGAUCGACAUGAAUCAUGUUUGUACCACCAAAUCAUGAUAUCCAAGUCAGAAUGCAGCCUCAAACGGUUCACUUGUUACGCUGAACGCAUCCAUUCUCGGUUAGGUACUCCACAAAUUCAUCAAUUAGGUAGGGCCAAGCACCUUCUUCGUCAUAGUUGGAUAACUGUGGAUCAAUUGUCUGCAAUAACACAACAGUGAAAUUGGUUAAGUUCACAAUUAUGAGCUCUUUCUACAUGCAAGUCAUAGUAAGAGCCAUCUUAGUCCCUUCCGGACAUCCAACAAAAAAUUGACACGUUUAACAAGAUACACGAUUAGUGAAGAACUGAAAAGAUAACAGAUUAUUGACGAAUCACUGAAGGCGACAGAUCACAAACUACCUAGAGACUACAACCUAGGCACACCAGUUAACCUGUCUCAUUUGCCCAAGCAAAGUUUAUUUGUCAUGCUGAUUAAGUGGGCAUACAAGUCCCGCAAAAUCUGGGCAUUCAUAUCUAUAUACCUAACAUUAAAGGGAGGAAUGUUUCUACCCAUCCAUCAUCAGAAUUGCUCUGAACUUUUUAAAAAUUACCUCUCAAUGUCACCCGUAAGCGGGAAAAAGCGGUUCAGAGCAACAUUCCUACGUUUUGUCAGCAGCUUGCAG